This 492-nucleotide ribosomal RNA is filed under the name uncultured bacterium. RNAcentral describes it as "partial 16S ribosomal RNA". It matches the Rfam family "Bacterial small subunit ribosomal RNA", at positions 29 to 507 of the family's 1533-position model. The record is from RNAcentral.
AGUGAACGCUGGCGGUAGGCCUAACACAUGCAAGUCGAACGGCAGCGCAGUAAGAGCUUGCUCUUACGGGUGGCGAGUGGCGGACGGGUGAGGAAUACAUCGGAAUCUACUUUUUCGUGGGGGAUAACGUAGGGAAACUUACGCUAAUACCGCAUACGACCUACGGGUGAAAGCAGGGGAUCUUCGGACCUUGCGCGAUUGAAUGAGCCGAUGUCGGAUUAGCUAGUUGGCGGGGUAAAGGCCCACCAAGGCGACGAUCCGUAGCUGGUCUGAGAGGAUGAUCAGCCACACUGGAACUGAGACACGGUCCAGACUCCUACGGGAGGCAGCAGUGGGGAAUAUUGGACAAUGGGCGCAAGCCUGAUCCAGCCAUACCGCGUGGGUGAUGAAGGCCUUCGGGUUGUAAAGCCCUUUUGUUGGGAAAGAAAAGCAGCAGGUUAAUACCCCGCUGUUCUGACGGUACCCAAAGAAUAAGCACCGGCUAACUUCGUG